This 650-nucleotide long non-coding RNA is filed under the name Salmo salar (Atlantic salmon). RNAcentral's name for it is "lncRNA (ENSSSAG00000083514.1)". The record is from RNAcentral. Lineage: Eukaryota; Metazoa; Chordata; Actinopteri; Salmoniformes; Salmonidae.
GAAGUUAAAGAACAUGGGUUCUUGGCCCAGCGUUCUCAGUCCACCCCCGCCUCCGCUGUCCGCUCCUCUAGCGACAGCUUCGAACAGGUCCGUCGCGUCGCCCGAGAGAAGGAGAGAGAGAAACAGCUAAAAGCACAGGCCAGGAGAGAGCAGGAGAAACUACGUAGCCUUGACGACGAGGACUCUGUGGACCAGCAGAGGGAGCUGGCGAGACGCCGCGAGCAGGAAAGGAGGAGGAGAGAGAUGGCGGACACCAUUGACAUCAACUUCCAGAGCGACUUGAUGGUCAUCUUUGAAGAGAACCUUUUCUGAGAGAGAGAUUGAGAAAGGAGGAGAGGGAGAGAAAGAGAUAUGAACUCUACCUUAUCCCACCAUGGCUGGGAUUUCACACACAACACCCUCCCUCCCUCUGAUUAGAGACCCCAGACCAGGAUGUGAGCUCCAGAGACUUGAAGGAGACUGAGGUGAGGUACAGUAAUAAGGAGUAGCCCUCCCUCCCUCCCUCUGAUUAGAGACCCCAGACCAGGAUGUGAGCUCCAGAGACUUGAAGGAGACUGAGGUGAGGUACAGUAAUAAGGAGAUGCCCUCCCUCCCUCUGAUUAGAGACCCCAGACCAGGAUGUGAGCUCCAGAGACUUGAAGGAGACUGAG